This 231-nucleotide unclassified non-coding RNA is filed under the name fungal sp. Its description in RNAcentral is "partial internal transcribed spacer region". The record is from RNAcentral. Lineage: Eukaryota; Fungi.
AAGUCGUAACAAGGUUUCCGUAGGUGAACCUGCGGAACCUGCUCUCCUUGAAGGCAAUCCCUGGUAAAUCACGCGAACAGUUUGAUUCAGGGACUUCCGGAGCUGCUUGCAGAUAACCAAGUCUGGGUCGAGAGGCCCCCUCUAUAUUAACCCCAAUUUACGUAAAGGGGAUGCGGAAACGCUCCUCAAAAAAAAAUCGAACAACUGUUAACAAUGGGUAUCUUGGUUCUC